UACGUAGGGGGCAAGCGUUGUCCGGAAUCAUUGGGCGUAAAGAGCGUGUAGGCGGUUCGGUAAGUCUGUCGUGAAAUCCUGAGGCUCAACCUCGGGCGUGCGAUGGAUACUGCCGGGCUAGAGGAUGGUAGAGGCGAGUGGAAUUCCCGGUGUAGCGGUGAAAUGCGCAGAUAUCGUGAGGAAGACCAGUGGCGAAGGCGGGUCUCUGGACAGUUCCUGACGCUGAGGCGCGAAGGCCAGGGGAGCAAACGGG
Molecule: ribosomal RNA, 253 nt
Filed under: uncultured bacterium
Lineage: Bacteria
Description: partial 16S ribosomal RNA
Rfam family: Bacterial small subunit ribosomal RNA
Source: RNAcentral